UUGCUUUGGCAGCACAUAUACUAACAUUGGAACAAUACAGAAGAUUAGCAUGGCCCCUGUGCAAUGAUGAUACGCAAAUUUGCGAAGUGUUCUGCAUUUUA
Molecule: small nuclear RNA, 101 nt
Filed under: Echinops telfairi (small Madagascar hedgehog)
Lineage: Eukaryota; Metazoa; Chordata; Mammalia; Afrosoricida; Tenrecidae
Source: RNAcentral